CUCGUUCGUUUGUUUCGCGAUAAGUUUACAGAAGUAGUUUUCGUUUUGGAGUUCUGUCCUCGCCCAGAAUUUGACUCUGCAUUUGAAAUGGCUUUAUUUAAAAUUCUCCACUCCUGCUGCCAUGUGUCGAGUAAUGUUCUAAUUCUUUUAAUCUUUACUCGUUUUUCUGGAGUAUCUUCCGGUGGGUGUUCUCUUUUAAGAAAAUCAAUCAGCUCUGAAAGCUCUUUCUCUGAAUCGGAAGAUUCCAAUUCUAUUCUCUCUUCCGCUUCAACUUUCCCGUCACCGUUAACUUCUAAAUCAACUUCUUCUUUAAUGCUUUCUUUUUCCGAAGUAGCCGUUGUUCCUUCUACCGGUUUGUGAUGGCCACGUAGCAUUUCUUCUGUUGCCGCAGUCGCUUUUUCAACAUUUUUUCUGCUUUUGUUCUCUUGAAUGUCAUUAAGUUCUUUCAGCACUUCAGUUGUGUUUGUUGUAGUGCUUUCGGGAACCGGUGAUGAUUUGGUCGAAGUAGUGGUACUUGUUAAGUAAGAGAUUCUAGGUACGAUAUUUUCUUCAGGGAUUUGAUCACGUUGAGGGCGUAUGUCAUAAUUGAUUUUCUCAACAACGGCUGCAAUCUGUUGUUUCAGAAUACUCGAAGAUUUAACCUCUGAUGAAAACCUUUCCAUUCGAGGGUUAAUAGGCUUUGAUACGUUCUCGACAUUAUCAGCGCUUUCCAAAGCUAAAUUAGGAAAAGACAUUGGCGUCCCUUGUGUUGAUCUCAAUGUUGACGAAGUAAAUAUAUCUGAAACGACCAACACUCUUUGGGCCUUCAAAAAAGCCAAAAGAACUGAAGGAUUGGACCAUAAUUCAUAAGCAUUUCGAAAUGAUGGAUCAUAAAAUAUUUGACUUCCAUACUGAAUACAGAGAUUAGCCACAGCUUUCCGAUCACAGGUAUGCUGUGAUACACGGAUUAACCAAGUAGGGUCAACGGCUAGUAAAGUAGCAUGCGUGGUAUU
Molecule: non-coding RNA, 992 nt
Organism: Schizosaccharomyces pombe (fission yeast)
Lineage: Eukaryota; Fungi; Ascomycota; Schizosaccharomycetes; Schizosaccharomycetales; Schizosaccharomycetaceae
Source: the annotation of a GenBank genome assembly